Molecule: ribosomal RNA, 433 nt
Filed under: uncultured bacterium
Lineage: Bacteria
Description: partial 16S ribosomal RNA
Rfam family: Bacterial small subunit ribosomal RNA
Source: RNAcentral
AACGAACGCUGGCGGCAUGCCUAACACAUGAAAGUCGAACGAGACCUUCGGGUCUAGUGGCGCACGGGUGCGUAACGCGUGGGAACAUGCCCUUAGGUUCGGAAUAACUCCCCGAAAGGGGUGCUAAUACCGGAUAAUGUCUUCGGACCAAAGAUUUAUCGCGUUUGGAUGGGCCCGCGUUGGAUUGGCUAGUUGGUAGGGUAAAAGCAUACCAAGGCGACGAUCCAUAGCUGGGCUGAGAGGAGGCUCCGCCACACUGGGACUGAGACACGGCCCAGACUCCUACGGAAGGGAGCAGUGGGGAAUAUUGUACAAGGGGCGAAAGCCUGAUACAGCAACGCCGCGGGAGUGAUGAAGGCCUUAGGGUUGUAAAGCUCUUUUACCCGGGAUGAUAAUGACAGUACCGGGAGAAGAAGCACCGGCUAACUACGUG